Molecule: long non-coding RNA, 2058 nt
Filed under: Medicago truncatula (barrel medic)
Lineage: Eukaryota; Viridiplantae; Streptophyta; Magnoliopsida; Fabales; Fabaceae
Description: long non-coding RNA (MTRU_LNC002933)
Source: RNAcentral
CUUUGUUAAAAUCAACAAUUUCCCUAGUUUUCAUGAAGAGAAAAAGAUAACUGAUUUGACUGGCUUUUCUCCCUCCUUUUGUGUAAUCAUGUAAGUUUCACAAAUGUGGAGAAAACAAAAGUCUGUCAAUAAGGGCCUUUUUUUAGUGCAACAUGUUGGCAGAAUUACUCAUAAGGAACAGACAAUAGGCUGCAAUUCAUCCCAUCUUUUUCGAGAACCGAAUUCCUCAACAGUUGCGUGAAGAGUGUAUGUUUGAUAUCAUGGUAGAUUGUCAUAAUCCAAGUAAGCCAUCGUAAUAUGUAAAAACUACAUUUUGUGCUGUUUGGUAUCAUGGUGAGCUCUUUGCAACUUUUGCCUAAACAUGGUGGCUCACCGUGAUUUCAAGAGACUCACCCGAUACCAAACAUGCACCGAGUAGCUUUUGUAAAAUCAAAGUGACUCGCUGUGAUUCUUACAAACCUACUCUGAUAUUGAUGCCAAACAUGCACAGAUUAUUUAAAAUUGAUUUAGUUGACGUGAAAUUUGAGCCAUCUGAUAUCAAACUAAUAGUUGAUAUUUCUCUAUUAUUAACUACAUGUAACUGUAUCAGUAUCACGCAGUUACAUCAGUGAAUCAAGAGCCAUCUUCACUGUGUCAAUUAGAGGAAGAUUUUUCUUCAGUGUAUGCUAUCAAUGUUUGAUGUUUAUUAUUGAGAAAUUGGAUCAAAUAAUCAUUGACAACAAUGAGAAUACAAGGUUGAGCUGAUUCUGAUACACAUAGUUACAUAAGUGUGUAUUGUGAUUAACAAUUUGCAACUUUAGUUCUCUGUUGGUAGUGAAUCUGAUAUACAAAUGUCUCCUCGACAUAGUGGGCAUACCCUGUGGAAUAAUAAUAAUAUACAAAAAGUUAAAGAUGCACAUUUCCAAUACAAAUUUCCAUCACAUGUGGAGUCAGUUCCAUGUAAUGUAAAGUUACUAACAUAAUUAUUUAUUGCACAAAUUAAAGGAUAGUGGCAUGAAAAAAUCAGAGCAUGUUUAGAUGAUUUUUUUUAAAGAAAGCAUGUAAAGAUGAAUUUGAAGAUGAAUUUCAACAUUUAUUAUAGGAGGGACCACAUAAAGGCAUUCAUAUGAAAUGAAUUGGCAAGAGUUAUUGCUAUAAAGCUCCUGUAUAAGAUUUAUGAUGGAGCCUUAACAGCAUGCUUGCUAUAGUUUCUGUAAAAUUCUGUAUUUUUUUUAAGAAAGUUAGAGUUAGGGAAAUGAUUAUUUAUUAAAGUAACAAUAUUGGUCAUUGGUCUAUCAGGAUAUUUGAAUUCCAUCCAUAGAAAUACAAGUUCAAACUUUUAUCACCGGACCGACAACUCAUGGACUGUUAAAUACAAUUUUUUGUUGGUUUGGUAUAAUUUGUUUUUUUAUAUCCAUCACAUGCAGAUACUACACUAAAUUGGCAGGGCUAUAUGCAAGAAGCAGAAACAACUUUUUUAAUAUGAAUUUGAAGUUUAUAGCUGUAUUGUUAACGUUAACCAGAAGAAGAUCCAUAAUUCCUAAUACGACAUACCUGUGAACCUCUUUCAGCCACUUGUCUAUACAUGUUGUAUGAAAUUCAUGAUGACAAGGAAGUACUCGCAUGCUGUCUCCAUCUUCGUACUCCACAAGGCAUAUAUAGCAUCUGUGAAAUUAGAAUAACCAUAACCAAUUGGCACAAACUAUUCAAAUGUGAUAACACACAAAAAUGCACAUUAUGAUCAAGGUAAUGGUCUCCUAAGACAAGACUAAAAAUUAUUUUUUAUUGUUUGCGUUCUUUCUAUUUUUGUUUUGGAACCGUUGUGUGCAAUUUAAAUUUUAUCAUACAUGUAACUCAAAUGACAUCAAAUGAAAGAGAAACAAUGUGUACUAAAUUAAAGAACACUUACUGUACAGGUUCUUCUUGAUGUUUUUGCAACUUUGUGUAUAAUUUGACAGGUAAGGAUUCGACAACUUCAGCAGGUGCAGGAACAGAUCCGAUAGAAGAUACAGAAGGGCGGGAAGAUAAAACCACUGAUUGCUGAUGAAUUUCAUCCAGAACCUAAUAAAAGUAUAUACC